RNAcentral lists this ribosomal RNA (1372 nucleotides) under uncultured bacterium. RNAcentral describes it as "bacterial SSU rRNA". It matches the Rfam family "Bacterial small subunit ribosomal RNA", at positions 28 to 1381 of the family's 1533-position model. The record is from RNAcentral.
GAUGAACGCUGGCGGCGUGCCUAAUACAUGCAAGUCGAGCGAACGGACGAGAAGCUUGCUUUUCUGAUGUUAGCGGCGGACGGGUGAGUAACACGUGGAUAACCUACCUAUAAGACUGGGAUAACUUCGGGAAACCGGAGCUAAUACCGGAUAAUAUUUUGAACCGCAUGGUUCAAAAGUGAAAGACGGUCUUGCUGUCACUUAUAGAUGGAUCCGCGCUGCAUUAGCUAGUUGGUAAGGUAACGGCUUACCAAGGCAACGAUGCAUAGCCGACCUGAGAGGGUGAUCGGCCACACUGGAACUGAGACACGGUCCAGACUCCUACGGGAGGCAGCAGUAGGGAACCUUCCGCAAUGGGCGAAAGCCUGACGGAGCAACGCCGCGUGAGUGAUGAAGGUCUUCGGAUCGUAAAACUCUGUUAUUAGGGAAGAACAUAUGUGUAAGUAACUGUGCACAUCUUGACGGUACCUAAUCAGAAAGCCACGGCUAACUACGUGCCAGCAGCCGCGGUAAUACGUAGGUGGCAAGCGUUAUCCGGAAUUAUUGGGCGUAAAGCGCGCGUAGGCGGUUUUUUAAGUCUGAUGUGAAAGCCCACGGCUCAACCGUGGAGGGUCAUUGGAAACUGGAAAACUUGAGUGCAGAAGAGGGAAGUGGAAUUCCAUGUGUAGCGGUGAAAUGCGCAGAGAUGUGGAGGAACACCAGUGGCGAAGGCGACUUUCUGGUCUGUAACUGACGCUGAUGUGCGAAAGCGUGGGGAUCAAACAGGAUUAGAUACCCUGGUAGUCCACGCCGUAAACGAUGAGUGCUAAGUGUUAGGGGGUUUCCGCCCCUUAGUGCUGCAGCUAACGCAUUAAGCACUCCGCCUGGGGAGUACGACCGCAAGGUUGAAACUCAAAGGAAUUGACGGGGGCCCGCACAAGCGGUGGAGCAUGUGGUUUAAUUCGAAGCAACGCGAAGAACCUUACCAAAUCUUGACAUCCUUUGACAACUCUAGAGAUAGAGCCUUCCCCUUCGGGGGACAAAGUGACAGGUGGUGCAUGGUUGUCGUCAGCUCGUGUCGUGAGAUGUUGGGUUAAGUCCCGCAACGAGCGCAACCCUUAAGCUUAGUUGCCAUCAUUAAGUUGGGCACUCUAAGUUGACUGCCGGUGACAAACCGGAGGAAGGUGGGGAUGACGUCAAAUCAUCAUGCCCCUUAUGAUUUGGGCUACACACGUGCUACAAUGGACAAUACAAAGGGCAGCGAAACCGCGAGGUCAAGCAAAUCCCAUAAAGUUGUUCUCAGUUCGGAUUGUAGUCUGCAACUCGACUACAUGAAGCUGGAAUCGCUAGUAAUCGUAAAUCAGCAUGCUACGGUGAAUACGUUCCCGGGUCU